This 829-nucleotide ribosomal RNA is filed under the name Staphylococcus sp. RNAcentral's name for it is "bacterial SSU rRNA". It matches the Rfam family "Bacterial small subunit ribosomal RNA", at positions 53 to 862 of the family's 1533-position model. The record is from RNAcentral. Lineage: Bacteria; Bacillati; Bacillota; Bacilli; Caryophanales; Staphylococcaceae.
ANNUGCAGUCGAGCGACAGAUAAGGAGCUUGCNUCCUUUGACGUUAGCGGCGGACGGGUGAGUAACACGUGGAUAACCUACCUAUAAGACUGGGAUAACUUCGGGAAACCGGAGCUAAUACCGGAUAACAUAUUGAACCGCAUGGUUCAAUAGUGAAAGGCGGCUUUGCUGUCACUUAUAGAUGGAUCCGCGCCGUAUUAGCUAGUUGGUAAGGUAACGGCUUACCAAGGCAACGAUACGUAGCCGACCUGAGAGGGUGAUCGGCCACACUGGAACUGAGACACGGUCCAGACUCCUACGGGAGGCAGCAGUAGGGAAUCUUCCGCAAUGGGCGAAAGCCUGACGGAGCAACGCCGCGUGAGUGAUGAAGGUCUUCGGAUCGUAAAACUCUGUUAUCAGGGAAGAACAAAUGUGUAAGUAACUGUGCACAUCUUGACGGUACCUGAUCAGAAAGCCACGGCUAACUACGUGCCAGCAGCCGCGGUAAUACGUAGGUGGCAAGCGUUAUCCGGAAUUAUUGGGCGUAAAGCGCGCGUAGGCGGUUUUUUAAGUCUGAUGUGAAAGCCCACGGCUCAACCGUGGAGGGUCAUUGGAAACUGGAAAACUUGAGUGCAGAAGAGGAAAGUGGAAUUCCAUGUGUAGCGGUGAAAUGCGCANAGAUAUGGAGGAACACCAGUGGCGAAGGCNACUUUCUGGUCUGUAACUGACGCUGAUGUGCGAAAGCGUGGGGAUCAAACAGGAUUANNAUACCCUGGUANUCCACGCCGUAAACNAUGANUGCUAANNUGUUANGGGGUUUCCGCCCCUUANUGCUGCANCUAACGCAUUA